This 75-nucleotide transfer RNA is filed under the name Candidatus Buchananbacteria bacterium CG10_big_fil_rev_8_21_14_0_10_33_19. Its description in RNAcentral is "tRNA-Met". It matches the Rfam family "tRNA". Rfam says of the family: Transfer RNA (tRNA) molecules are approximately 80 nucleotides in length. Their secondary structure includes four short double-helical elements and three loops (D, anti-codon, and T loops). Lineage: Bacteria; Candidatus Buchananiibacteriota. The record is from RNAcentral.
GGCAGGGUAGCUCAGUGGUAGAGCAGCGGACUCAUAAGCCGUUGGUCGCGGGUUCAACUCCCGCCCCUGCUACUA